Molecule: ribosomal RNA, 613 nt
Filed under: uncultured bacterium
Lineage: Bacteria
Description: bacterial SSU rRNA
Rfam family: Bacterial small subunit ribosomal RNA
Source: RNAcentral
CGGCGCCUACCAUGCAAGUCGAGCGAGACCUUCGGGUCUAGCGGCGGACGAGUUAGUAACCGUGGGAACGUACCUUUUGCUUCGGAAUAGCCUCGGGAAACUGGGAGUAAUACCGAAUGUGCCCUUUGGGGGAAAGAUUUAUCGGCAAAAGAUCGGCCCGCGUCUGAUUAGAUAGUUGGUGGGGUAAUGGCCUACCAAGUCUGCGAUCAGUAGCUGGUUUGAGAGGAUGAUCAGCAACACUGGGACUGAGACACGGCCCAGACUCCUACGGGAGGCAGCAGUGGGGAAUCUUAGACAAUGGGCGCAAGCCUGAUCUAGCGAUGCCGCGUGAGUGACGAAGGCCUUAGGGUCGUAAAGCUCUUUCGCCAGGGAUGAUAAUGACAGUACCUGGUAAAGAAACCCCGGCUAACUCCGUGCCAGCAGCCGCGGUAAUACGGAGGGGGUUAGCGUUGUUCGGAAUUACUGGGCGUAAAGCGCACGUAGGCGGAUUAGAAAGUUGGGGGUGAAAUCCCAGGGCUCAACCCUGGAACUGCCUCCAAAACUACUAGUCUAGAGUUCGAGAGAGGUGAGUGGAAUUCCGAGUGUAGAGGUGAAAUUCGUAGAUAUUCGGAGG